RNAcentral lists this long non-coding RNA (9709 nucleotides) under Homo sapiens (human). RNAcentral's name for it is "HSALNT0000800". Lineage: Eukaryota; Metazoa; Chordata; Mammalia; Primates; Hominidae. The record is from RNAcentral.
CGCUGACAUCACAAAGACAGGACCCCUGAGGGACGGAUGAAAGGAAAUCAAGGAAGAUUUUCAGAGGGCAGGUGGGGGGAGGCUGGGGACCUUCCUGUGGGGGCACAAAUCUUGUCCUGUCACUGGAGGAUGCACACAGCUCAUGGAGACCACGUCAACCACCGGCCUAAGGAAAGCAGCGGGAAAGCUGUGAGUUGAAGCCAGAGAUGAAUCCAUGCUCAACCUGUGUGUGGCAGACUCCUAAGUACUUGCUAGGGAGGGUCCUCAAAACCAGCUCCAGGUCCUCAAAAUUAGUGUACAAGCUGUGGACACCACAGAGCAAAGCCACUGCUCAGAGAAAGCACACAUCCUGGUUGCUAUGUCUUCCAUGCACGGGGCCCUCACUAUGGACCAGACACUCCUAAGGGCCAUGCACCCUGUACGAUAUCUGAUCCCCCAUCUACCUUCCCUUUACAGAAAGUGUGACGCGGCUUAAGCAGCUUGUCUGAGUUUGCACAGCUGGCAAAUGGCUGAGCCAUGACUCACACCCAGGUCCAUCCACCGCCAAAGCUCCAGAUCUCUGGCAUCCUUCUAAGGUCAGAAAGGGAAAGAAAUCCCUAAUAAGGAGCCUGUGUGACGGCGUGCCCCCCUCCACUUUCCCACCCCUGCCAAGGACCCGUUUGAAGGCUGUUCACGCCAGUCACUGCAAUCACCAUUGAGCACAGAGAUGACAGUUCCAGCAAGCACUGACCUUCCAGCCCACUCUGCGGAGGAGAAGACUGAGGGGCAGAGAGGCUGUUGAUUUGCUGCAGUUGACUCUGACCCUAAUUUCCCGGCGCUGACUCAAACUCAUCAGGAACACUGCUUUCACUGAGUGUAUGAAGUGGUUUCUCCAUCCGUGUGGCUUUACCUGAACUCACACCGGUCCCACGGCCCAGGUGUGGAGCCGAGCACUCCCCUCUGCCUCCUCCCUGGACUGCAGGACCUGUGUCUCGCUUUAUGAAAGAGAUGCCAUUUGGGGAAGACUCGCAUUGUCGGGAGCGCUGUGGACGCUCCAGAAGGAGAUCAACACGAUGAUGACGAUGCCGGGUGGAGGGAAUGUGCACUUCUCGGGAGGAGGAGCCAAAAGCAUUUUGCUGACCUCGGUGCAGAUCAACCCUGCAACAAGGUGCAGAAGAGGCACCAAAGGGGCUUUGUAGCCAGCAACAUGCCAGAUCCAUGCACCUUGUUGAUGCAGCCGACUCUGCAGGGGUGCAGGAGGUGAGGACUCACACAGGGGUGCGGGAGGUGAGGACCCACGCAGGGGCGCAGGAGGUGAGGACCCACGCAGGGGUGCAGGAGGGAUCACUGGAUUCAAAAGGCGCUGAGAAGCAUUUUCUCCUCCCGUCUUUUGGAGGUGUUUGUGAAGAUCUGAUAUUAACUCCUCUUCAGAUGUUUGGUAGAAUUCAGCAGUGAAGCUGUCUGCGGGGCAGAUGCCUAUGAAAGGCGCCCUGGUGUGUUCGAGGCACGAUGAGGAGGUCGGUGUCCCCCGGGACAGAGAGGGCAGCAGGUGGUGGGCAGCAUGCCUUAUGCAGGGCCCAGCAGGGUGAGGAGAGUGAAGGGUGCCAUGUGGGGGAAGUGACAGGGCCCGGCUGUGUAGCAAGGAAGCCCUCUGGCCCUUGCCCUGUGGUGUAAAGGCUUUCACGGGAAAGGAACAGAGGCGAGAGGUCAGGUGCCACCGGUGCCAUCCGCUCUUACCUCAUUGCACACAUGAGCUCAUCAGGAUGGGCUCUCGAUUCUCUGGAGGAGUCCAGGGUCGAGUCCAGGAAUCAGCCCGAGGUCAACUUGGAGAAAGACUGUGUGUCUAGCGUCUGCCUCCCUCCCUCGCAGCCUCCUACUCACCUGGCCUCCACCGCCCACCCAGCACCCCUGGGGACUGUCCCCAUCCCCCCAGGGACUCCAGAGGGAAUGUGUUUUGUGCCGUGUGGAAAACAAGCCAUGCUCACUGCACACCACGACAGUCCCUUCAAGCUGUCAGAGUCCCUGCAUGUGGAGUGAAAAGGGGGAAAAAAGACAAUUUACAAUUGCAAAUUGGAACCCCUCUCUCGGAGUGGAGUGAUAAUCCAGCUAGGGAGACAGACGGUGAGGAAGUGCUCCAGGAACAUGUUACAACACAUCACUGCCUAGCAGAGACGAGAGGCUCCAGGAAGGACCUGGUGCCUGCCAUUCCAACCUUGAGGGGCUCCUGGAGGGACGCUGAGGACAAGGCGGCUGUCCCAUCACCUCACUCUUGUCUCUGCCCUCACCUCUCCCCACCGUGCAGGGCUCAGGACUACGGGCGCCCAGACACAAAGGCCCAGAGCCACAGAACAGUGAACUCCACACUGUGCAGCUGUUGGCGGGAGGGGCGGGGAGAGAGACCAGAGUCCCAUUUCUGCUGCCUUUUAAAUAAAAGACAAGGAGGAUGGCGAGGAGGAGGUCAAAACUCACUGCAGUCUAUACCGCGGCACAGAUCCCGACUCAGGGUGGGGGCAUGUGGGAGGGACAGAGGGAGGGGGAAAACACAAACAAAGAGGGAGGAGGAGGCCCCUCCGCUUCAUGCAAUCGGGAACAGGUGUGCGGGAACCCUGGGGUGUCUGGCGUCUGGCAUGGCAGGCUCCCAUCCUGGGUUCCGCCAAUGCCGCCGGCGAGGGCCCGCUCUCUCCCCAAAUGCUGCUCUUUUCAGAGGGAAAAAAAGGCAUCAUUCCAAAGAUAGGGUAGACGCUGAAUGAACAAAUGUUUUUAAACACCCAUGUUGUCAUUAUUUCUUCCAGAAGUUGAUUCAUUUACGUGGCGAUCUGAGAGCCUGUCACUCACUGAGGCCAGAGUGGACCCUCAGAGUCAGGCACUGGUUCAGGGACCAGGCCCUGAGGUGCGGGGAUAGACGGAGCCUGACAAAGGCCAAGACACAGUGGUCUGGGUCCAGGCUGGGGACAGGAGUGGCGGGGCAGCGGAGGACAAGGAGACAGCCAGGCAGACCCCAAAGCCUGGACCGGGCUGGUCUCGGGGACGUGCGGGUGUGGAGGGAAAGAACGUUCCCUGCAGACAGAACGUAGGAUGGGCAGCACACGGGACAGCUCGUGGUUCAGCCAGGCUGCAAGGACUCCAGAAGGUUCUAUGGCUGAGUCCUUACUGCAGACUGGAAAUCUUCAAUGAGCCGCUAACAAAAAGUGUCAGCAAACAAUCAAAACCAAAACACAUGUGUAUGGAUGCAGUGGGGCGAGGCAAGGGACAUUGAGCUGGUGGAAAAUGAAGAAAGGAGAGGGAGAGCCAUGGGGCUGCUGAGCCUGGACCGGCCCAUUCCCGCUGGGCUUCAAGGCUGUGGGAGCAUUGGUGUCCUGGCCUGGAAUCGGUGAGCACAAAAGCACCAAAGAUCUGAAAGGUUCUCAGGAUCAAAAGCCCCUUUGUGAACUGUUCAAUAUUUUCAGCAGAAAUCCAGUAAAUGUCAGAGGUUUUUUGGGGUUUUUUUGUUUGUUUGUUUAGGCACCACCUGUUUCUCCCUAUGGGAAAAGAAAAUGAUAACUACUGCUAAAAAAUGAAAAUUUAAAAACCCCUAAAAGAUCAUCUGAGGUGCAUGUGAAGCUGUUCUGGGCCAUGCCUGAAUGUGAACAGAGCCAGCCACUUCGCCAUGCAGGGAAAGCCUUGGAAGGGAAAAGCGAAGCCCAGGCUGCCCGGCAGCUACAGCUCUGGGCGGCGUGUUCCUCACCCUCCUCUCCCACCAGUGACUGCCUCGGAGGGCAGACCUCAACUCUUCCCGAAGGCUGAGUCCGAGAGGCCCCCGCGCUGAGGGCGUAGCAGCCCACUGGACCUCACCCCUUGGCACCCCUGCCCUCAGGGCACAGGAGUGACUUGAAGCUAUGGCUGGCUCAGGGCCCUAGAGGAAGUCACAUCUGGUCAUUGAGCACACAGGGCAGGUGUCGGGACAGCGCUGUGUUUGGCACUCACUCACUCAUUCAUCCAUGUAUUCAUCUGUGGGUUGUGAAAUUAACUUCGCAAAUAUUUACAGAGAGCUUUCCAGGGUUCUUCAAAGGGAAGAAAUAAAGACGGUAGCAGAGUUCCUGUUUAAGCUUCGCUCUCAUUGCGUCCUGGCGUCACGGGGGGCCUCAGGGUGACUUGGCAAAGUGAGCUCCCACCUCCUCCAACCGAAAAACACCAGCAGGCAGGAUCGCACGGCCAAGGCGGUGAGUCCCGCUCCACUAAGGCAGAUCUUGAAAAGUGCCCCCAUCUCUGUUGGUUUCCUGAAGCCACAAACUGGGCAGCUUCAACAACAGAAACUUAUUCUCUCCUCGUCCCGGAGGCCAGAAGUCCAAGAUGAAGGUGUGGACAGGGCUAGUUCUUUCUGAGGCCUCUCCCCUUGACUCCCAGAUGGCUUUUUUCACUGUCACAUGGCCUCUGUGUGUGCUUGCGCAUGCCUGUCUCCAAACCUCCCCUUCUUAGAAGGACACCAGUCCUAUGAGAUUAGGGCCCAUCUGAAUGACUUCAUGUCAACUUAAUUCUGUCAAGACCCUAUCCCCAAAUAAGGUCGCACUCACAGGUUCUGGGGGUAAGGACUUCAGCAUGUGGAUUUGGUAAGGGGGUACACAAUUCAGCCCAUAACAAUCUCUGAGCCUUCAUCUUCUAAUUAAAAAAAAAAAAAAAAAAAAAAAAAAAAAAGGCCAGGCACAGUGGCUCACACCCAUAAUCCCAGCACUUUGGAAGGCUGAGGCCAGCGGAUCAUUUGAGGUCAAGAGUUCAAGACUAGCCUGGCCAACAUCUUGAAACCCUGUCUCUACUAAAAAUACAAAAAAAAAAAAAAUAGCAGGGCAUGGCGGCAUAUGACUCUAUAGUCCCAGCUACCUGGGAGGCUGAGGCAGGAGAAUUGUUUGAACCCAGGAGGUUGCAGUGAGCUGAGAUCGAGCCACUGCACUCCAGCCUGGGUGAUAGAGCAAGACUCUAUCUCAAAAAGAGAGAGAGAGAGACAGGCCAGGCGUGUUGGCUCACGCCCGUAAUCCCAGCACUUCAGGAGGUUGAGGCAGGCAGAUCACUUGAACCCAGGAGUUUGAGACCAACCUGGGCAACAUGGUGAAACCCUAUCUCUACAAAAAAAAUACAUAAAUUAGCCAGGCGUGGUGGCUCAUGCCUGUAGUCCUAGCUGCUCGGGAGGCUGAGGUGAGAGGAUCACUUGAGCCCCAGAGAUGGAGGCUGCAGUGAGCUGAUAGUGCCACUGUACUCCAGGCUGGGUGAUAGUGACACCCUGUCUCAAAAAAAAAAAAAAAGAGAGAGAGAGAUAGCACCUGCCCCAACUCUCUCCCAGAGCAGACCCACUGGAUUGGGCCCAAAGGGUGCCCUGUGAGCUUCAGAGGGCUGUGCUGUAGGCGCCACCCACUUUCCUCUCAAGUACAGGCAGCAAGAGAGACAGGGACUCUCACCUCCCAGUGGCCCUCAGAAAAUCAGAGGUCCCGGGCAGGAUGUUGGCAUGUGGUCCACUGGCUCCUUUAAGAAAAGCCAGGUAUCCUCAGAGACCCGCACAUAAGGUCAGUACUCUCUCAGCAGACCAAUCCAUUUCUCCCCACUAAGUAGCAUCUGAUGGCGUUAGAUGCUAAGACUCUCUCUUCAGAAGUAAUAAAAAAUAAAAAUAAAAAUAAAAAAGGCAGUCCCUUAGUGGGAGGGUGUUUGGCAUUUCAUCUGAAUUCCACAAUGAAUAAUUUAUAUGAAAAUUUUAUCGGAGCCCAGCUUUCCACAAUAAACGUUCCCUGAGAACACACGCAAAUGCUUCUGCAGCCAUCUCUCUCUCUGCUGGAUUGGGCUGACGGCCCAAAUCAGAUCUGAGUUGCUGCAUCACUUAUUUACAAAAAAUAUCAUAAUCUUACUUUUAUGUGCAUUUUUCCCAGCAUCCGUGGGUGACAAGUUUGAGAGGCACAGGCAGCAGCGGCCGCUGCUUCUGUUGGAUCCAGGAGGGAAGGGAGGUUCUGAGCUUUGGAGCGGGAAGUGAGGAGCCUCAGCUGUCCGCACCCUUUUGCCUGCAACACAACAAUUAGGAGAGGGACUAGGAGGAAAGGAGCCACCUGGUUUCUGGGGCAUAGAAGCCCUAUGCAGCCACGUGUCCCGAGCAGAGUGAGGUGGGGAGGGGGCCAGAAGGAGACCUCAGUUAUUCAGCGUCAGGAGGGGGGGUCCAGAGUGUGGCUUGGGGACAGGGAGACCCAGCUUGAACCCUCCUCCUAGCUAGGUUAUGUGGCUUCUCUGAGUCCUUGACCUUAUUUGGAUAAUGGAAAAAAGAGAACCCACCUUUCAGGACUGUCCUGGGAAUGUACUGACCUGUUGUGGGCAGCGUGGUCAUCACACCAACCUUCACAUCCAACAAAUGCUUGCAGAACUGACAGGCACAUGGCACGAGCACGCCGCUAACCAGGACUGUGCUUUCUGAUAUUGCUGUUUCCAUGGUGGCAGGGAGAGGGCUCCAGCCCAGCUGCAGCGUCCAGAGGCACAGCCCCCGCCUCCUGCAUUCGCUGCCCAGGGGUUCACGUGUCCUCAGCUUAAUGUCUUCUUAAUAUUUUAUACACUUUCUCCUUUGUGAAUUCAUCUCUUUUCAUGGAGGAAUUGCCUGUGUGUGCCCAGUGGGAGCUUGAAGGCAUCAGUCAUCGUCACAUCCUCCUGAGGAUUUCUCAGUCAGCUGCUCUAGGCAGGUCCUGAGGGAGGGGAUGGAGGAGACCCCAGAACCUGGCGCUGCCCUUCCUGUCCCAGCCAGGUGGGUGUCCUGGUUUAGGGCUGCCAGGGACAUGGCCUGUCCCAGGGACACAGGCGUCAGCACCGGCUCUGUUGCUCACCAGCUGUUUGACUUGGAGCAAGUUUCUUAACUUCUCUACGCCUGUUUCCUUAUCUCUAAACUGAAGUGAUCAUGAUCCCCUCCCCAAGAGAAGUCGGGAGGCUCCGGGAUGGGACGGUGCACACGCAGCCUUCACAUCGUGCUGAGGCAGCACCAAGCAUGCACCCCAGAAAUGCCAGUUGUCUUGUGCAGCUAGUCCUGCAGUCCUCCCAGUCUGCAGGAGCAGGAAGGGAGCCUGGUCUGGGAGCUGCCCGUUGCCCACAGUGACGUGCUGGAGGACCCAGGACAAGGCCUGGCUCUCCACCCGCUGCACCGUCCACCUCUGCCUGGUUGACAGCUUCGCCAGCCAUUCUGUUUGCCUUCUCCACUCCCUCCUUCCCUAUAGGAACCAGUUCUGGGUUUGGCACCCAAAACCAAAAAGAUUGGCCCCUUCUCUGCGCUGCCCAUGGACUUGGGAGGCUGAGCACAUCUCUCACUCUGGACGGAUCCCAAUUAGCCAAUCACAGUAUGUCAUCCUCCUUGCCAGGGAUUAUUUCAGCCAAUCAGCACACAGACUCCCUCUGGUGACUCUAAUAGGUCCAGGAGCAGGCACAUGCCCUAGGCUGGCCAAUCAGAGAGGUGAGAAGGACUUUCACUCCACCUGUCCUUCUCCCACCAGCUGUGAAUGAGCAAGCUCCUCUCAUUGCAGCAGGCAGGCGGCCAUCCUAAAGCCGUGAGGGAGGGGGCCUCAGGACAAGGGGAGGCAGAGUCAAAGGAAGGGAGAUGCAGCCCUGAUCACAUGGUGCCUGCAGCCCACCUUGCCUCAGAACCUGUGCUCACAUGAGAUAAUAGAUCUCUGUGGUUAAGCUAGUUCAUGUUGGACCUUCUGCUACUAACUCCAGAGAAAUGCCCCCACAUGUAAAGUUAGAGGGUCUCCACUGUGGCCAGACCUCUAUGACCCCUUCAUAUGUCCAACCCUGGGAGAAAUUCAAGUCAAUGGAAGACCACACAAUGGGAUAAGGAAGUAAAAAGUUAAUGACUAAAUUAAGGUUAUCACCAGAAGUUUAAGCUUCUUGAGAAGGGUCACAUCUGUUUUUGAAGACCCACAGAAAGUACUGUCAAAUUCCAUUCAAAGACAGCCCUCGGUGUCCUGGAAUGGCCCCUGAAAAAAGCCUCCUGGAGCUUCCUAUUGCAGCAUGACACCUGCCCACCAAUAGGGCAGGACAGCGGUGUGGCCAAGAGCCCCACUGACCAGGGCUUGAGUGGCGAUUAUACCACUAACUAGCUCCAUGGCCUCUGCAAAACUCAGGGACCUCAUGUGGAAAAUGGUGUCAUAAUAUCACCAGCUUAUGCAAAUCAAUGCGAGGAUUCUACAGAUAAAAAAAAUGAAGUUCUUAGCACUGCAUCUGGCAUGUUGGGAGUGCUCAGUAAAUGUUAGUGUUAUUUUCCUGACAUUUUCACCCUGAUUAAAUGAUUAGGCAGAGACUAAUGCUUCUGGCCAAGUGUAGUAACAGAGAUUGGAUGUACCCUCCCAACCAACCAAAACAACAACAAAAAAAAGUAUGAAGCAAUGGUUUUCAGGCCAUGAGACACCAGGCAGCAAAGGACAGACAUUCCUGAGAGGAGGAAAACUAGCAAGGUGAGCCCUAACAUUCCCCAAGCUUCUCCCAUCGGGUGAGCUUCCAGGCUGCGGUGCAGGGAUGGGGAACCCAGGUUGAGACCAAUGGACUCCCCGAGUGGAGGAGACAGAGCCGAGUCCAGGGAAGCCAAGGCAGGAAGGUUCACAGGACACAACAGGAGAGAGCUGCACAGAGAGCUCUGGAGACAUGCAGAGGGUCCCCUCCAGGCACUCAGCAAAGCAACAAUUAGUGCAUGUAGGCAGGGAAACGACUCAAGGCUGGGCAAAGAAGCACCCAAAAAGACUGGAGGAAGCAGCUCCCCGUGUUCACACAGGGUGGGUUGUUACUGCUCCUACCAGCCAGACGGGAAAAUCUUAGAAUUCACAUGGCAUCGGGUAAACUACUCAGAAGGGUCUUGCCUCCGUCAUGGAAAUAAUUAUCCCUAGACCAAACACUGAUUUGAAAUUUUUAAAAACAAGCUCUGAAUAGAUCAAAAUGUUCCCAAGGAACUUAACUGCAUCCCCGAACAAAGCUCAAGAAUACUUUAGAAAUGAUCACAACAACAGCAAAAAUCUAGCAACCAACAAUAUAAAAUGUCAAUGUCGGCCGGACAUGGUGGCUCAUGCCUGUAAUCCCAGCAUUUUGGGAGGCCGAGGCAGGCGGAUCACUUGAGGCCAGGAGUUCAAGACCAGACCUGGCCAAUGUGGUGAAACCCCGUCUCUACUAAAAAUACCAAAGUUAGCCGGGCCUGGUGGCACACACCUGUAAUUCGAGCUAUUCAGGAGGCUGAGGCAGAGAAUCACUUGAACCUGGGAGACAGAGGCUGCAGUGAGCUGAGAUUGCACCACUGCACUCCAGCCUGGGCCACAGAGCAAGACUCCAUCUCAAAAAAUAAAUAGAUAAAUAAAAUGUCAAUGUCUCACAUCCAAUCAAAACAGUCUACGCAUGCAAAGGAGCAUGAAAACAUGACCCAUGGGAAGAAGAAAGAUCAAUCAAAACUGACUCAGAAUGGACAUAGAUGCUAGAAUUGGCAGACAAGAACGUUUAAAACGUUAUUACAACUUUGGCCAGGCAGGGUGGCUCACACCUGUAAUCCCAGCACUUUGGGAGGCCAAGGCGGGUGGAUCACCUGAGAUCGGGUGUUCAAGACCAGCCUGACCAACAUGGAGAAACCCCAUCUCUACUAAAAAUACAAAAUUAGCCAGGCAUGGUGGCACAUGCCUUUAAUCCCAGCUACUUGGGAGGCUGAAGCAGGAGAAUCACUUGAACCUGGGAGGUGGAGGUUGCAGUGAGCUGAGAUUGCACCACUGCA